RNAcentral lists this long non-coding RNA (798 nucleotides) under Macaca fascicularis (crab-eating macaque). RNAcentral describes it as "lncRNA (ENSMFAG00000048325.1)". Lineage: Eukaryota; Metazoa; Chordata; Mammalia; Primates; Cercopithecidae. The record is from RNAcentral.
UGAACGCACGGACCUCGCGGACCCGACCGGAGCAGGGAUGCCCUAGGAGUGAUGCUGUCUCCUCAUCAGAUCCGGGACCCUGGGCUCGGCUUGUCCCACCAUACACCACAUCAGCCUCACUCACAUGGCUCUUCAGGCCCUGGCCUGGACCCUUCUCCCAGAGGCACAUGCCCAGGACCCAGCAAUGGCCAAUGGGACCCUGAUGGCCGAGGGCCAGGAAUCAGUGACUUUCAAGGAUGUGGCCGUGGACUUCACCCUGGAGGAGUGGGGCUGGCUGGAGCCUGACCAGAGGGAGCUGUAUCGAGACGUGAUGCUAGAGAACUACCGGAACCUUCUCUCCCUGGGUGAGACCCCUCCUCCUGCCCUCCCCCUGGGGGAGGCCUGAUGCCCCCUGGAUCCCUCUCUGAUGCCCCCAGCACUCUCUCUGAUGCCCCCUGGCACCCCCUUCUCAUUCACGUCCAUCCCCUGCCAUCUGGGGGCCUCUGUGCUCCUCUCGCUGGUCCCUCGUGCCUGGCCUCUCUGUUCCUCUCUUUCUGCCAGCUGAUCCUGGAGUCCCAGCAGCUAGGAAGGCCCAAGUCUCUUGGCCUGUCCUGUAAAAUGUGGAUCCCACACACUCUUCAGCCUGUGCCCCCAGCUUCUUUUUUUUUUUUUUGAGACGGAGUCUCACUCUGUCACCUAGGCAGAAGGGCAGUAGCGUGAUCUCAGCUCACUGCAACCUCCUCCUCCUGAGUUCAAGCAAUUCUCCUGUCUCAGCCUCCCGAGUCGUGGGAUUACAGGCACGCACCACCAUGCCGGCUA